Molecule: ribosomal RNA, 375 nt
Filed under: uncultured prokaryote
Description: partial 16S ribosomal RNA
Source: RNAcentral
CCCUAUGGGGUGCCCCCGCCAUGCGAGCCAGCUCUACAAGGCGUUUAUUGUAGAAGGCCACCACAUAUCCUCCUGCCGGCGCCAAAAUUUCCUCGCAGUUCUCGCCGAUGACGAUAUCCUCGCUCUUCACAUUGGGAUUGCCUCCCUGGGCAGCGAUGAUUUCCAUCAGCUUGGCAUGAGCCUUUCCACUGCUGAGGAUCUCUUCUGCAGCAGCGUAGCCUUCUCCUCGUCCUGCCACUCCGCCCAUCUCCAGCAGUAUGCCAGCUAACGAGAGGCUCUUCUCCCUCAGGCUAUUUGGACCCGGCUUAUUCUCCAGAAGGGUAAGCGCCUCACGCACCUCCAGAGCCGGUCCUAUGGUUCUGCCCACGGGAGAGC